GCGCAGCAGGCGCGAAUUUUUCACAAUGGGGGAAACCCUGAUGGAGCGACGCCGCGUGGAGGAUGAAGGCGUUUUCGUCGUAAACUCCUGUCAUGCGAGAACAAGAAAGUGAUAGUAUCGCAAGAGGAAGAGGCGGCUAACUCUGUGCCAGCAGCCGCGGUAAUACAGAGGCCUCAAGCGUUGUUCGGAUUCAUUGGGCGUAAAGGGUGCGUAGGUGGCAUGGUAAGUUGAAGGUGAAAUCUCGGAGCUCAACUCCGAAACUGCCCUCAAUACUGCUGUGCUCGAGGACUGUAGAGGAGAAUGGAAUUCACGGUGUAGCAGUGAAAUGCGUAGAUAUCGUGAGGAAGACCAGUGGCGAAGGCGAUUCUCUGGGCAGUUCCUGACACUGAGGCACGAAGGCUAGGGGAGCGAAACAGGAUUAGAUA
This 425-nucleotide ribosomal RNA is filed under the name uncultured organism. RNAcentral describes it as "bacterial SSU rRNA". It matches the Rfam family "Bacterial small subunit ribosomal RNA", at positions 346 to 784 of the family's 1533-position model. The record is from RNAcentral.